This is a long non-coding RNA of Coregonus clupeaformis (lake whitefish), 468 nucleotides long. RefSeq lists it as uncharacterized. The transcript has 2 exons. NCBI's taxonomy places the organism in Eukaryota, Metazoa, Chordata, Actinopteri, Salmoniformes, Salmonidae. The record is from RefSeq and is a predicted model, not a curated record.
CUUUGGCCAGACCACUGGUGUGGGGAAUGUGUCUCGUGGAGUCUCGGAUCUGGAACCUGUGACAUAAGCUAGGUUUGGUAUUACCUGUGUGUAGGCAGGCAGGCAGCAGUGUCAGGGGGCUGGGUAGUAUUGAUCGGAGGAGUGUGUGAUGAUGAUGAGCUGUGACAGCCCACCGUGUGGACCUGCUCUGAGUCAGGGAGGAGCCCGCCCCGUUGCCGUGUCGCCCAGGAUCACGCUAGCACGGGCUGCAUCGUUCCACACGCAUCACUGCCCUAGGACACAGCCUGCGCUGCGGCAGGGGCAAACAGCACCAGGAGACACGGGAAAAGACUCUGUCUGUCUACAGUGUGUUAGGGAGAGAUACUGUACUGGACAGGAUGUGACCAAGCUUCAAUCGUUUAGAAACACUUGAGUGUAAAGUACCAUGUGGUGUCUCCACUGCAUUUAGAUUAAAAGUUUAAGAUAAUA